RNAcentral lists this ribosomal RNA (253 nucleotides) under uncultured bacterium. Its description in RNAcentral is "partial 16S ribosomal RNA". It matches the Rfam family "Bacterial small subunit ribosomal RNA", at positions 524 to 776 of the family's 1533-position model. The record is from RNAcentral.
UACGUAGGCAGCAAGCGUUGUUCGGAGUUACUGGGCGUAAAGGGUGCGUAGGCGGCUUCUUAAGUCUGGUGUGAAAUCUCCCGGCUCAACUGGGAGGGUGCGCCGGAUACUGAGGGGCUAGAGUGUGGGAGAGGAAAGUGGAAUUCCUGGUGUAGCGGUGAAAUGCGUAGAUAUCAAGUGGAACACCAGUGGCGAAGGCGAGUCUCUGGACAUUUCCUGACGCUGAGGCACGAAAGCCAGGGGAGCAAACGGG